UGGAUGAAAAUGGACCAUCUGAAGGGUAAAGGGACAGCAGCCAGUUAGCUCAAUUGGUUAGAGCAUGGCACUGAUAGAGGGUAGAGGGAAUGAGUGAGAAGAGGAUCACCCUAGCCGUGUGUUGUGGCCCAUCUUCUCUGCAGCUGUAUGAGUACUCAUGGGUCCAGGGCCCUUUGCAUUCUAAUGAGACGGACCGACUCCCCCGGUGUGUGCGUUCUACUGCACGAUUAGCUAGGGCCUUGUCUCCUGCCUUUGAACUGAGUCAGUGGAGCUCUACUGAAUACUCUACAUGGACUGAGAGCCGCUGGAAAGAUAUCCGUGCCCGGAUAUUUCUCAUUGCCAGCAAAGAGCUUGAGUUCAUCACCCUGAUAGUGGGCUUCGGCAUCCUCAUCUUCUCCCUCGUCGUCACCUACUGUAUCAAUGCCAAAGCUGAUGUCCUUUUCAUUGCUCCCCGGGAGCCAGGAGCUGUGUCAUACUGAGGAGGACCCCAGCUUUUCCUGCCAGCUCAGCAGUUCACUUCCUAGAGCAUCUGUCCCACUGGGACACAACCACUAAUUUGUCACUGGAACCUCCCUGGGCCUGUCUCAGACUGGGAUUAACAUAAAAGAGUGGAGGAGAGAUAAAUAAGUUGCCUCCCUUCCUCCGCUCCCCUUUCCCAUCACCCCUCCCCCAUUUCCUCCUCCUUCUCUACUCAUGCCAGAUUUUGGGAUUACAAAUAGAAGCUUCUUGCUCCUGUUCAACUCCCUAGUUACCCACCCUAAUUUGCCCUUCAGGAUCCUUCUACUUUUUCCUUCCUGCCCUGUACCUCUCUCUGCUCCUCACCCCCACCCCUGUACCC
This 838-nucleotide small RNA is filed under the name Pongo abelii (Sumatran orangutan). Its description in RNAcentral is "processed transcript". The record is from RNAcentral. Lineage: Eukaryota; Metazoa; Chordata; Mammalia; Primates; Hominidae.